ACAAAGGUAUUGAAAUAAGACUUUAAUUGAGUGCUAAGAGAAUGGAUUAACGGUAAAAUUCUUUUUUAAUUUCAAAAAUUGAAGUUAUUUUUGUUAGUGAAGAAACUACAAUAAAAAUUAAGGACAAGAAGACCCUAAGAAUUUUAAAUAAUUUAAAAAAAAUUUUUUUUAAAUUAUUUUAAUUGGGGCGAUUAAUAAAAAUAAGAAACUUUAUUUCUCCAAAAAAAUGAACCAUUAAUAAUGGCCAUAUGAAAAAAAUACUCUAGGGAUAACAGCGUA
RNAcentral lists this ribosomal RNA (279 nucleotides) under Amblyomma variegatum (tropical bont tick). RNAcentral describes it as "partial large subunit ribosomal RNA". Lineage: Eukaryota; Metazoa; Arthropoda; Arachnida; Ixodida; Ixodidae. The record is from RNAcentral.